CCAAUAGCGUAUAUUAACGUUGCUGCAGUUAAAAAGCUCGUAGUUGAAUUUCGGAACCAAUAUGUUGGUUGUGCCUCGGUACGUACUGGCAUUGUUGGUUUCUCCCUUCUGACGAACUAUGAUGUCAUUAAUUUGGUGUCAUGGGGAAUCAGGACUGUUACUUUGAAAAAAUUAGAGUGUUUAAAGCAGGCUCACGCUUGAAUACAUUAGCAUGGAAUAAUGAAAUAGGACGUUUGAUUCUAUUUUGUUGGUUUCUAGGAUUGACGUAAUGAUUAAUAGGGAUAGUUGGGGGCAUUAGUAUUCAAUUGUCAGAGGUGAAAUUCUUGGAUUUAUUGAAGACUAACUACUGCGAAAGCAUUUGCCAAGGAUGUUUUCAUUAAUCAAGAACGAAAGUUAGGGGAUCGAAGACGAUCAGAUACCGUCGUAGUCUUAACCAUAAACUAUGCCGACUAGGGAUCGGAUGAUGUUAAUUUUUUAAUGACUCAUUCGGCGCCUUACG
RNAcentral lists this ribosomal RNA (499 nucleotides) under uncultured Glomeromycotina. RNAcentral's name for it is "partial small subunit ribosomal RNA". It matches the Rfam family "Eukaryotic small subunit ribosomal RNA", at positions 591 to 1092 of the family's 1831-position model. Lineage: Eukaryota; Fungi; Glomeromycota. The record is from RNAcentral.